CAGAUUCCGUGGCGCUGUACAAUGAAUGUUUAUUAUCUACCUUACCGUAACUUCCCACAUCGCUCUCUGUUAGUACAGAACUAAAUGACUGUAUUAACGUGAUAUUGUGAAUGUAACGGGGAUAAACGCCCAGGGGUUAAGGUGCGGCUGCAUACAUUAAUGAUAACAGGUGAAUCCAGCCGCUGUUUAACACACAUUGUGCAAGAUUUAUAGCAAUGUCCCGGAAUAAAAGGACAAUUCAUGUGCGUGUGUGCGUAUUUAUAUUCAUUACUUUAAUACUUUACACUGAGGUAGUUGUGAGUACAUGGACUAAGCCACCCAGCAGAGGUGGUAGUGGCUGAUUAAGGGGGCAAGCUCAGGAAACGGCCGGGUCAAUUAUAAAGCUGCUGCUUGUCACGAGACAGGACUAAAUUCACGACUGCACUUAAAUUCAUCAGCUUUAAUGGAAAGGUG
Pelobates cultripes (western spadefoot toad) is the source of this 453-nucleotide non-coding RNA. The record is from the annotation of a GenBank genome assembly. Lineage: Eukaryota; Metazoa; Chordata; Amphibia; Anura; Pelobatidae.